GAGGGUAUAGCUCAGUGGAAGAGUGCAUGCCUAGCAUGUAGGAGGUCCUGGGUUCGAUCCCCAGUACCUCCA
RNAcentral lists this transfer RNA (72 nucleotides) under Camelus bactrianus (Bactrian camel). It matches the Rfam family "tRNA". Rfam says of the family: Transfer RNA (tRNA) molecules are approximately 80 nucleotides in length. The record is from Rfam by way of RNAcentral. Lineage: Eukaryota; Metazoa; Chordata; Mammalia; Artiodactyla; Camelidae. RNAcentral also lists the same sequence under 2 other names.